RNAcentral lists this ribosomal RNA (253 nucleotides) under uncultured bacterium. RNAcentral describes it as "partial 16S ribosomal RNA". It matches the Rfam family "Bacterial small subunit ribosomal RNA", at positions 524 to 776 of the family's 1533-position model. The record is from RNAcentral.
UACAGAGGGUGCGAGCGUUGUUCGGAAUUAUUGGGCGUAAAGGGCGCGUAGGCGGUGCGGUAAGUCACCUGUGAAAUCUCCUGGCUCAACUGGGAGCUUGCAGGCGAAACUGCCGUGCUGGAGUGUGGGAGAGGUGCGUGGAAUUCCUGGUGUAGCGGUGAAAUGCGUAGAUAUCAGGAGGAACACCUGUGGCGAAAGCGGCGCACUGGACCACAACUGACGCUGAGACACGAAAGCGUGGGUAGCAAACAGG